CAACUGCAGCAUCAGCACAGAUUUCUGCUACUUGAAUUAAUGGAGUGCCACUGCCAGUCACAGGUUGUCAUCCUCUGAGUAAAGCCCUCCCAGAAGGGGAUUGCUGGUGAGAAACAUGAACUGAGGAUUUGCUUGUUGGCUGGGAUGGCAAUUGGAUGGAUGUACAUUCCAGAUUUAAGAUAACCCAAGAGGAAGGACUUUUAACCCAGCACAGAGCACUGGCCCUGGCUGAGCAGAUCACAGAGAGCUCUCAGUACUCCUCAUCCCAGUGCACCAGCUCUUAUGGACCCCAAAGCAUAGGUGAACAUCUGCCUCAUUUCCCUGCCCUGCCUGACUGUAUUUCCACCCUCUGCCAAGCUGCUGAUGGCCACAGGACCUGAAGAGGGAAAGAGUGAAAUUCUGCUUUCACCAAGAUUUCGGAAACCAACCACAUAUGAAGAUGUCAAUUUCUCAAAAGGACACGGACCAGGAAAGGCUGUAUAUUCUUGGGACACAUCCUCCCAGUGACUGCUUUGUGUUGUAAUAGAGUCUGGCCAGAAAGCUGCCAGAUCUAUGUCUUGGAUGACUACUGUGUCAAAAGCAUUUUUUAAUGACACAGAUGGAGCACUGAGUCUCCUCCCCACUUCCUUCGCUGUUGCCACAUAAAGGUUAAACUGGACUGGCACACUGCAAAGCCCCAUGGUUUUUAGUCUAUAAAAAACACUUUGGAAAGAGAUUGUUCAGUGUCACAUGGCUGUUUUAAGAAGAGGAAAUGCACAUGCUGAUGUUUAGCGGUAAUAUGGGAAGAUUUGCAUCUGUUGCAUUUGCAAGGCCAAGUGACUUCCACUAGAUAACAUCUGUUGCAUUUGCAAGGCCAAGUGACUACUAGAAAAUCUAGAAAUACAAGAAAGAGACAAACUGAACCAGGGACAAAAGGAGGAAAUUAGAGCCAGCAAGUAAAUUCUAAGUGCAAGGAACUUCUAGUUAUGAGAUCUCCAUUGAGAAGUUCUUCAGUGCAGCUGGCAGCCAUUUCUUUUUGCAGCUGAAGUUUCUGAAUGAUAACUUUUUGUGGAGUAUAUCACAGGAAUGUGGAUUGCAAAGGGCAAAAAUCUAGACUGCAGCCACAAAGUGUAUAUCUGAACAGAAGGCAAAAUGCUUCUGGAAUUUGGAAAGGGAAGAGAGAAGCAGCUUCAACUUCUGGAUGUUUCCUAGCUAGUCAUCUUGAUUUCCAGCCAUCAGCUUGUCACCUUUGUCAUUCUUUCUUCAUUGGUUUCACUCAUUCCAGUGAAACACUGGAGAACCCAACAAGUCCUCUUCUAUCAGAAACUGGACAAAACCAUCAGCUGUUUUCAGACAAAAGCGAGUACAGCACAUACUGCCCUGGUGUGGGUUUGUCUACAUGACCUUUUCCAAAAGCCCCAAGCCAGCUCUGCCAGUGUUCCCUGAGGGCCAGGUGUGGUGUAGCUGUGGCCAAAAGCUGUGCACCCAGAACCUGUACCAUCCUCCUUAACUUUAAUUCCAGAACCCAUUUCAUCAUUCACGGCAUGCUCUCAGCCUGCAAGCUCCUGUCACAAUGGAUUGUUAACACAUCAUCAUCGGGUGCUGGAUAACCAAACCCAUGGGGGGGGGGAAGGAAAAAGGACUACAGGACUCUCCUACCACUUGGUGACUCCUAGUAAAGGGACAGAGGCAGUGGACUGGGAGGCAGGAGGUGUACUUCAGGAGAGUGCUUCUGGAGGCAUUUUUCCCUUAUGUGUUGGCAGGUCAGGAGUUGAGAAUGUAUGGGUUGUCCCUUCCAUUGAUAUUCUUAGUCAGAGAAUGGCAUUUACCUCUUAACAAUUCCUCAUUGUAAAGCCAAAUCCGUUCCUCCUCCCCAAAACAACCUGUGGUAUUGUUCUCCUGUUACCAUGAUAAAUUAUGCAUGUUAGACACGCGGAAUCAUGACAAUGCUCCUGUGCACAGUCGUUCCUUGUGCUGAGAAAUUAGUAUUUUGCCAUGUACGGCUUUAUUAUGGUCCUCUUUAUUAUGGGACUGAUGUUAGGGUCUUGGAGAAAUUGCUAGGAAGUGGAGAGUAUACGAGCUGCUCUGGGAGUUUAGGCACAGACAUCUGGUUGGAUCUGGUUUAUGGUUGAUCUAUCAACCAACAUGCUAGAUCUAGCUUUGUGUCUUCAUACAUACAUCAUAGAAGCUCACAGAAUCACAGAACAGUUUGGGUUGGAAGAGACCUUAACUGUUAUCUGCUUCCACCCCACCCUACCAUGGGCCUACACCAGGUUGCUCAAAGUCCUGUCCUCAUAGAUAACACAGAGAAGAGAAAUUUUCAGUUCUCCUGAAGUUGCUGGAUAGAGCUUAAAGACCAACUAACAAAAAUGAUAAAAGAAUGUAAAAGUGUGCACACAGGAUGAUAAAUGUAGCUGGAACCAGUAGAUUAACAGAUAAUGAGGAUUAUAGUGGCUUUUUGGGCCAAGUUAUGUAAAAAGAAGCAACAGCGCAUGCCCUAAGAGAAGUUCAAGGAAAUGUCAUCUGUAAUAUGGGGGGCACUUGGUGAGUACAACCACCAAAGACCCCUUCAGACAACCCUCUAGGGACAUUAAAAGACUUCCUGAAGGAGGCAGCUGCAUGCAAAUUAGUUCUACGAAAAGUGAUGUUUAUGUAUCAGCCAGAAGUACACUGUAAUCAAUAUGUAUGAUUAUGAUGGAAUAAAUACCUUGUUCUACCUUCUGGACACGCAUCAGAUAAACAGAGAUAUCCUUCUGAUGUGUCCAGCACUGUAAUAAAGAAUGCCUGCUGUCUGAUACUCAAAAUUGUGUUAGAAAGUUUUGUUGUCUGAUUUCAGUAUUGGUCCAACAUUGCCUUGAACACUUCCAGGGUUGGGGCAUCCACAAUUCUCUGGGCAGCCUGCUCCAAUGUCUCACCAGCUCAAUU
Melospiza melodia melodia is the source of this 2904-nucleotide long non-coding RNA. RefSeq lists it as uncharacterized. Lineage: Eukaryota; Metazoa; Chordata; Aves; Passeriformes; Passerellidae. The transcript is spliced from 4 exons. The record is from RefSeq and is a predicted model, not a curated record.